Molecule: ribosomal RNA, 301 nt
Filed under: uncultured bacterium
Lineage: Bacteria
Description: partial 16S ribosomal RNA
Rfam family: Bacterial small subunit ribosomal RNA
Source: RNAcentral
CAGCCGCCGCGGGAAUACGUAGGUCCCGAGCGUUGUCCGGAUUUAUUGGGCGUAAAGCGAGCGCAGGCGGUUAGAUAAGUCUGAAGUUAAAGGCUGUGGCUUAACCAUAGUAUGCUUUGGAAACUGUUUAACUUGAGUGCAGAAGGGGAGAGUGGAAUUCCAUGUGUAGCGGUGAAAUGCGUAGAUAUAUGGAGGAACACCGGUGGCGAAAGCGGCUCUCUGGCUUGUAACUGACACUGAGGCUCGAAAGCGUGGGGAGCAAACAGGAUUAGAUACCCCUGUAGUCCCUGUCUCUUAUACA